CUUUUUUACCAAACAUGUCUUAAUGAUUAUUAUAUUAAGUCUAACCUGCUCAAUGAUUUUAAUUAAAUAGCCGCAGUAUUUUGACUGUGCGAAGGUAGCAUAAUCAUUUGUCUUUUAAUUUGAGGCUUGUAUGAAUGGUUGGAUGAGAGAGUGUCUUUCUCUAUAUUAAUCUUGUGAAUUUAAUUUUUAGGUUAAAAAGCUUAAAUACUUAAAAGGGACGAGAAGACCCUAUAGAAUUUUAUUUAAUUUAUAUUAAUGCAAGUUUUUGGGUUAAAUUACUUAUUUAUUAUAAAUUAAAUUUUGUUGGGGUGACAUUGAGAUUUAAUUAACUCUUAAAAUUUAUAUCUUAUUUAUUUGUAUAUUAGAGAUCCUAUUUUAAGGAUAUUUAGAUUUAAUUACCUUAGGGAUAACAGCGUAAUUUCUUCAGAGAGUUCUUAUCGAUGAAGGAGGUUGCGACCUCGAUGUUGGAUUAAAAUUAGAUUUAAGUGCAGUAGCUUAAUUUCUAGGUCUGUUCGACCUUUAAAUUUUUACAUGACGGUUUUUUAA
RNAcentral lists this ribosomal RNA (546 nucleotides) under Tarisa flavescens. Its description in RNAcentral is "partial large subunit ribosomal RNA". It matches the Rfam family "Bacterial large subunit ribosomal RNA", at positions 1800 to 2616 of the family's 2925-position model. Lineage: Eukaryota; Metazoa; Arthropoda; Insecta; Hemiptera; Pentatomidae. The record is from RNAcentral.